This is a long non-coding RNA of Carassius carassius (crucian carp), 292 nucleotides long. RefSeq lists it as uncharacterized. The record is from RefSeq and is a predicted model, not a curated record. The transcript has 3 exons. Lineage: Eukaryota; Metazoa; Chordata; Actinopteri; Cypriniformes; Cyprinidae.
GCGCAUUUUUCAAUCUGCAGGGGCGCCGAGCAGAGCGAACAUCAGAGAGCACAAGAUGGAUAUACAACAUUUUUUCUUGUCGUGCGGGAGUAGGUCUGCAAAUGAGCAACAGUCAGUGUUGUAUAUGGCUCAGUCAGUACUCCUACUCCCAUAUAUGAAAUACAGGGAAUACAAUGGAAUAGUGGAUUGCAGUAAGGUUAGUAGCAUACCACCCUACCCUAAUAGUCAAAUAAUAUUUUUUUAAUCAUACCCUUAUUGGGGGCUGAGCCCCCCUAAAAUCAAAAUCCUAGAA